GCGAUGCAGCUCUCCCAGGAGCAGAGAAUCACCCUGGCAGGAGCGUGGAAUCCUGGCUGAGUUCUUCCCAUUUGGUAUCAACAGCAUUUUAUAUCAGCACAGCACAUACCCACCUGAAGCCUUCAUUGGAGUGCAGAGUACAGACUCACCUUGCUUGUAACUACAGAUCCUGUGCUCAUACAAUACCUAAAUAAUGUGCUCGAACAACCAAAGGAUUGGCUAUACAAAUGUUCGUUCAUAAAUUCGCCACAGUCAUUGCAAAUAUUGAAAGUGGUGAUGUCCUUGAAGGAAGGCACUUUGAUACUGAGUGUGACAAGACUGCAAAAGAUGACGGUGCACCCAGAGAACAGAGAGCGCACCCAGAGAAAGGAGGACAGGUAACCCAGAGAAAGGAGGACACUGAACCCAGAGAAAAGUCUCAGAAAGCUAUCCAGGACAAAAUCCAUCCAGCGAUCAGAUGAACCACAGUUAGUGACAUUUCUGCAACUGUUGAAUUUUCUUGUUCAUUCGAUCUAUGAUUUAUGCAAAGAUCUGGUUGUACCUGGAAGAUGGGAAGAGUGGGGACCACAGUUCAUGACCAAU
RNAcentral lists this long non-coding RNA (582 nucleotides) under Homo sapiens (human). RNAcentral describes it as "non-protein coding lnc-UNC93A-2:1". Lineage: Eukaryota; Metazoa; Chordata; Mammalia; Primates; Hominidae. The record is from RNAcentral.